This 384-nucleotide long non-coding RNA is filed under the name Lonchura striata (white-rumped munia). RNAcentral describes it as "domestica (Bengalese finch) Prostate cancer antigen RNA 3 conserved region 2 (ENSLSDG00000009356.1)". It matches the Rfam family "Prostate cancer antigen RNA 3 conserved region 2". The record is from RNAcentral. Lineage: Eukaryota; Metazoa; Chordata; Aves; Passeriformes; Estrildidae.
AUUUUUUAAUCCACAUUAAAGACUAAGAAAACAAGCAUGCUUUGAAAUGGCCCUCUGCAUUGUCAAGUGAUUACCUGUACUUGAUAUUGCUAUUCUUCACAAAAUGAGAUAAUCCUGUUACCUGAUAACAUAAGAAACAAGUUGACUCCACAGAAGCAGCUGGAAAUGAAUAACCACAUGCUUAAAUCUCCUAGGAACAUGCUGUUUGGCAUAUACUGCUGAAAGUUCCUCAUAUUUAGGAGUGACAUACUUAUGUUGUGUCUCAGCUGGUGUGGAUGGGGGAAUAUUCAUUUCUCAGUGGUAACAUGGAAUUUGAUUUUAUAAAAUGUUUUUAUAUACAUUUAAUGGAUUGAAACACUUUGAAGAAAACAUACAUUUCUGGUC